This 765-nucleotide ribosomal RNA is filed under the name uncultured Streptococcus sp. RNAcentral describes it as "bacterial SSU rRNA". It matches the Rfam family "Bacterial small subunit ribosomal RNA", at positions 28 to 776 of the family's 1533-position model. The record is from RNAcentral. Lineage: Bacteria; Bacillati; Bacillota; Bacilli; Lactobacillales; Streptococcaceae.
GACGAACGCUGGCGGCGUGCCUAAUACAUGCAAGUAGAACGCUGAAGAGAGGAGCUUGCUCUUCUUGGAUGAGUUGCGAACGGGUGAGUAACGCGUAGGUAACCUGCCUUGUAGCGGGGGAUAACUAUUGGAAACGAUAGCUAAUACCGCAUAACAAUGGAUGACACAUGUCAUUUAUUUGAAAGGGGCAAUUGCUCCACUACAAGAUGGACCUGCGUUGUAUUAGCUAGUAGGUGAGGUAACGGCUCACCUAGGCGACGAUACAUAGCCGACCUGAGAGGGUGAUCGGCCACACUGGGACUGAGACACGGCCCAGACUCCUACGGGAGGCAGCAGUAGGGAAUCUUCGGCAAUGGGGGCAACCCUGACCGAGCAACGCCGCGUGAGUGAAGAAGGUUUUCGGAUCGUAAAGCUCUGUUGUAAGUCAAGAACGAGUGUGAGAGUGGAAAGUUCACACUGUGACGGUAGCUUACCAGAAAGGGACGGCUAACUACGUGCCAGCAGCCGCGGUAAUACGUAGGUCCCGAGCGUUGUCCGGAUUUAUUGGGCGUAAAGCGAGCGCAGGCGGUUUGAUAAGUCUGAAGUUAAAGGCUGUGGCUCAACCAUAGUUCGCUUUGGAAACUGUCAAGCUUGAGUGCAGAAGGGGAGAGUGGAAUUCCAUGUGUAGCGGUGAAAUGCGUAGAUAUAUGGAGGAACACCGGUGGCGAAAGCGGCUCUCUGGUCCGUAACUGACGCUGAGGCUCGAAAGCGUGGGGAGCGAACAGG